UACGUAGGAGGCGAGCGUUGUCCGGAAUUACUGGGCGUAAAGAGCGCGUAGGCGGCACUGUACGACCGCUGUGAAAGCCCCGGGCUCAACUGGGGAGGGUCAGUGGUAACGGCAGAGCUGUGAGUGCAGGAGAGGGAAGUGGAACUCCGGGAGUAGCGGUGAAAUGCGUAGAGACCCGGAGGAACACCAGUGGCGAAGGCGGCUUCCUGGUCUGCGACUGACGCUGUGGCGCGAAAGCUAGGGGAGCGAACGGG
This 254-nucleotide ribosomal RNA is filed under the name uncultured bacterium. RNAcentral describes it as "partial 16S ribosomal RNA". It matches the Rfam family "Bacterial small subunit ribosomal RNA", at positions 524 to 776 of the family's 1533-position model. The record is from RNAcentral.